CAAGGCGAAGGCAUGUUGGGGGGUGGCGGACAUCAGAACACACGCACACAUGCUUGCACACACACAACCAGCCAGACAAUCGGGCCAGUGUGUCUGGGGCCGUGGAGCCCAGUGAAUUAGGAGUUUGAUAAGGGUUUUCUCUUUCUCUUGCUUGCUGGCCUUGGACAAUCUCCCCCCAGUUUUCCUCGACGCCACCCCCGGCGCUGCCAACCCUCCUCCCCCGCCUCCCUUCUCUUCCCUGUGCCCAGACUCUUGUUCGGGGCCUUGAAACAGUGAGCCGUCUUUGUUCGAAAUACAGGUGAACGGCAAUCAUGUGAUUAACACACACACACAUAAAAAGCUUUUUAACAGCGCCCGCCCGGCCUCAGAACUGCCCGGAGAGGAGCCGCCCUGGAUGGACAGAGGGACGGAGGGACGAGCAUCCAGCCAGUCGUGUCCCAGCUGCCCCACGGCGGUCUCCACUGCCCGCUGCUGCCCGCCCGCUGCCCGCCUGCCUGGCAUCUCUCUCCCGGGCCAUGUUGGGAGCUGGGGACACACAAAUAAAUCCUGGCCUGGAAGCAGAGCCCUGGGGAGGUGACACGCAGCACCCUGAGCAUCCAGCCACCCCUGAAUCUCUCUCCAGCCCUCUGGUGCACGGAAGUGACUUCUCAUUAAGCAUGGCUGGGAGCAGACUGUGUGUCACUGCUAGUGACCACGGUACUGGGCCGGGGGAACCUGAAGACGAGCUUGGGGGUUUGUAAAUGAGGGACAGAGAGACGAGGCUGCAAUAGCCAGAUUCGGAGAAGCCCAGGCUGCAGGAGAGGGCAACCUCUGUGUUCAAGAGGGACAUGGGGAUCUCUGAGGCUUUUCCCCUGGCCGGAAGUUGGGGAGGGAAGACUUCCUGGAGGGGAUAAUGACAGAGAGGCGGCUGUCGCUGUGGAGGCUGUGUGGGAGAGGAGGGUGGCAUGUAUCGAGGUGGACAGUGGCCCCGAGGAGGCCUGGGCUGUGACAGGAAGGGAGAGGGACAGUGUGGGGGGCAGGGCUGCAAGGGUAUUGGGGCUCCUGAGGGCCAGGCGCCAUAGGAGGUAUCAGAUCCAAGGGCAGGGAGGUGGCACUGAUUCGAAAGGGUCAGGUUUGUCUUCUAGAAGACCACUGCCCUGUGGGCAGCACCAGCCUGUUUAUUGCUGUGUCUCCAGGACCCAGCCCAGCGCCUGGUCCUGAUUCAGGGAAUGUUUUCGGUUAGUUCACAGGUGCUGAUGGCGGGCCCAGAGCCAAUGGUUAACGCCAGAUAUGGGCCUCGGUUUCCUCACCUGUAAAAUGGGGGUCGGCACCUGCCUCAUAGGAAGGCAGUGGUGGUGGGGCUCAGCUCUGUGUGUGCUGUCCACACCCCUGUGCUGACACUUUAUGAGUGUGUGUGGGAUGUGCCAUGGGGGCAGGAGGCAGGGAGCAGGGUCACACACGUCUUGCUGUCCAGGAGAGAGAGGACAAUGACAGUGAUUCUCAAGAGCUUCAGGUUUAUGUACAUUUUUCUUUUCUUUGAGUCAGGGGCUUACUAGGUAACCUUGAAUUCGUGAUGUACCCCAAGCUGGCCUUGAGCUUCUGGUGACAGUCAGACAGGCAAACCUACAGGGACAAAAGGUAGAUGAGUGGCCGCCAGGGCUGGGGGCUCGGGGUUGAUGGCCGAGGGUGCAGGGUUUCUUUUGUGGUUGUGACAUACAUGCCCUAAACAACUGUGGAAAGGUCGCACAUCUCCGUAAGGGCCCUGCGAGCCUGGAAUUGUGUGAUUCCAGUGUGUGGAUCACAGGACAUGGGAACCACUUCUCAAUAAAGAUGUUCUUUACCAA
Cavia porcellus (domestic guinea pig) is the source of this 1823-nucleotide long non-coding RNA. RefSeq lists it as uncharacterized. The record is from RefSeq and is a predicted model, not a curated record. Lineage: Eukaryota; Metazoa; Chordata; Mammalia; Rodentia; Caviidae. The transcript has 2 exons.